RNAcentral lists this long non-coding RNA (2251 nucleotides) under Mus musculus (house mouse). Its description in RNAcentral is "long non-coding RNA chr3:135860347-135862598". The record is from RNAcentral. Lineage: Eukaryota; Metazoa; Chordata; Mammalia; Rodentia; Muridae.
GUUCAAUACUCUUUUUUUUUUUUCCUACUAGGAGAGGAGAGAUGGAUUAGCCCGAGGGUAUUGUUUUCUAUGGGCACAAUUAUGCAGGGUACCAUACAGUGGGUCCUUGUGAAACCCUGGCUGAAUGUUUGUGAUGAUUCCAAAGAACCAGUCAACUAAGCUGCCAGCUUAAACACCGAUGAAUGAAUCUUUUACACCAGUCAUGGAGACACAGCUCUAUAAGCUCAAUCCUUAAGAGGCUUAGGCAGGAAAAUUGUAAGGUGAAGGCCAGUUUAGGCUCCAGUGAGCUCAAGGUCAGUCUGUCUUUGUGAAAUCCCAUCUCAAAGCAAAAUGUGAAGUAAAAGAAAGAGGGUUGCGCCAUAGUGGUGUAACUGCUAAGCCUGGGCAAGGCUAAGGCUAAUCCUCGGCACGCCAAAACCUUCAAAUGGGAUCAAAAGUUCCUUCAGGUAUCUGCUGGCAGGAAAUUUGAAUUCUCAUUUCGAUUCUUGUCCUGAGGAAGAUGAUUCUGUGUACCGGGUCAGGCAAGGCUGCCCUUCCACGGAGGACGUAACCCUGGUCCAGACCUGAGCACUGGAGUCUUCAGGGUCUAUUACAUGACACAUAGAAUUUAAAAUGAGUUUAAGGAGCCGGGUGGUGGUAGUGUAUACCUUUCAUCUCUGUACUCGGGGGACUGACUCAGAUGGACCUCUGUGAGUUCGAGGCCAGCCUAGUCUACAGAGUGAGUUCCAGGACAGCCAGAGCUACACAGAGAAACCCUGCCUACAAACAAACAAAUUUAAAGGGCUAGUGACCACAUUAACAGAGAACAAGUUAUGGGAGUUGAUCUUUUCUUCCAUGAUGUAGGUUCUGGGAAUUGAAACCAUGUCAUCAGGCCAGCACCCUUACCUCCUGAGCCAUCUUGCUGCUCCCCACCCUCAACAUUUCCUUUUUUAACUAGCCACGUUGUUGAAAAGCUUGGGUUAAUUAAGGUAUUAGGAUUCUUGCUUUAGAAUUAGCGUCGCCUGAGGAUGUUUCCGGUAAAUCUAAGUACCACGACGAAGGUGGGCCCUGCUUUGCAUAGUUUAAAUAUAUCAAUGGAAAGACUACUUGUACUGGACGUGGGCAGAUUUUCCUUCUUUUUUUUUUUUUUCAGUAAAUAUCAAGUACUUGAUCAGUGCCCUAGGCACAGGGGGUUUUGAGGCAAACACAUUCUCCUACUUUCUAGUCUAUGUAGUGGAAAUAGUAGAAAGCAUGAAACCAGAAGCUAUGAGGAAGCAAUACAUAUUUAGAUGAAAAAAAAAAUCAACCCUGGGGACUGACAGUGACAUGCGGGAGAUUCUUUCAACAGAACAGUCUGGAAGGAUUCUCUCAAGAGGUCAGAGGAGGGUUAGGUCACGAGAAGAGCCAGCAUGAAGGUAUCUAAGGAGAGACUAUUUUGAUAAUGGAUAGAAUAGUCAAUCCUGUCUGGCAGAGGAGAACUGGAAUGUCAAUGGUAUGAGAUUCUCCAGUAUUAGCAUGACAUACCCAUGAUGUCAUUCCUCCAGUUUUGAAAUAGAAAUUAUUGGAUUUUCAUACCAACAUCAACAAUGAAUCCAUGAGCAGAGAAGGACAAGGUUGGAGUUCUAGAUCAUACUUCCAGGAACUCCGUAUCUGUUGAAGAGGAGGGAAAAAGCUAUGUCCCCGCAUGUUACCUGUGGCCCAGGUAUCAUGAGCUGCCUAAACAUUAUUGACAUUGAUUUCUUCUGGGGGUUGUUUUGUGAAUAUUCUGCUGAAGGAACAAUCAUAGAAGAACAAAAGUGUAAGCAAACUGGCCAGCAUAACGCUACUUCCAAUGUGCUUUAGAUUAUAUAGAACUAUGAACGAUUUAAGGAACCAAGUUGAAGGCUCGGUGUUACAUCAUGAGGCAACAGGUGCUGUGGGGCAAGCUAUAGCGGUCUCACUGAAAGAGUGUUUUCUGAUAUUAAAUAUCACAAAAUAAUUUAUUCUAGAUAACCCCAUUAAGAUGAUGGAGCACAGUGUUUAAAACUCGUUUGUUUGAAUUCAAGUGUGAGUUCAGGAAUUGAAUUGAUACUGUUGGAUGCUAGUGUUUCAACAGAGAUAAUUUUUGUUUCAAAAUCGAAAAUAAGAAGAAACUAUUAAAAUUAUGAGUUAAGAAAAGUACUUUACGUUGACACAAUAUUGAUAGAACUCAAAUUAUACAGUAAUCUAGAUUUAUAAAUGAUAAUUUUUGGUUUUUUUUGUGAAAUAAAAGAAGAAUGAAAGAAAUAUAUAG